Molecule: ribosomal RNA, 876 nt
Filed under: uncultured bacterium
Lineage: Bacteria
Description: bacterial SSU rRNA
Rfam family: Bacterial small subunit ribosomal RNA
Source: RNAcentral
AGUUGUAUCCUGGCUCAGGAUGAACGCUAGCGGUAUGCCUAACACAUGCAAGUCGUACGAGGGUUUCAUACCCAAGUGGCGGACGGGUGAGUAACACGUGAGAAUUUGCCCUAAGGAGGGGGAUAACAACUGGAAACGGUUGCUAAAACCCCAUAUGCUUCCGAGUGAAAUAGAUUUAUCUGCCUUAGGAGAAGCUCGCGGCUGAUUAGCUAGUUGGUAAGGUAAUGGCUUACCAAGGCGACGAUCAGUAUCUGGUUUGAGAGGACGAUCAGACACACUGGAACUGAGACACGGUCCAGACUCCUACGGGAGGCAGCAGUGGGGAAUUUUCCGCAAUGGGCGAAAGCCUGACGGAGCAAUACCGCGUGAAAGAAGACGGCCUAUGGGUUGUAAACUUCUUUUUUCAGGGAGGAACUCAAUGACGUGUACCUGAAGAAUAAGCAUCGGCUAACUCCGUGCCAGCAGCCGCGGUAAGACGGAGGAUGCAAGUGUUAUCCGGAAUCACUGGGCGUAAAGCGUCUGUAGGUGGUUUAAUAAGUCGACUGUUAAAUCUUGAGGCUUAACCUCAAAAUCGCAUUCGAAACUAUUAGACUUGAGUAUAGUAGAGGUAAAGGGAAUUUCCAGUGGAGCGGUGAAAUGCGUAGAUAUUGGAAAGAACACCGAUGGCGAAGGCACUUUACUGGGCUAUUACUGACACUCAGAGACGAAAGCUAGGGUAGCAAAUGGGAUUAGAUACCCCAGUAGUCCUAGCCGUAAACAAUGGAUACUAGAUGUUGGACAGAUCGACCUGUGCAGUAUCAAAGCUAACGCGUUAAGUAUCCCGCCCGGGNANGUAUGCUCNCAAGAGUGAAACUCAAAGGNAAUUGACGGGGGCCC